Molecule: non-coding RNA, 306 nt
Filed under: Drosophila virilis
Lineage: Eukaryota; Metazoa; Arthropoda; Insecta; Diptera; Drosophilidae
Description: Eukaryotic large subunit ribosomal RNA
Rfam family: Eukaryotic large subunit ribosomal RNA
Source: Rfam by way of RNAcentral
AAACGUUGUUGCGACAGCAUUCCUACGUAGUACGAAGAGGACCCGCAGGUACGGAACAAUGACGCAAUACUUGAUCGAGCGAACAGUGGUAGGACGGUACGUGCGUUGGAUUAUGACUGCACGCCUCUAAGAUAGUAUCCGUUCAGGAACACAACCACAAUUAAGGGGCCACAUUCUCACUUCUACCAUCCAUCAUCAUUCAUACAAUUCCUUCCUGCAAUUGCAAACGUCGCCUGGAAAAUGCAGCUCUAGCAAACUCAUUCAUUCUUCUAAUCCUAUCUCUAGUGGAGAGUGAUUGACUUACGU